This 935-nucleotide long non-coding RNA is filed under the name Homo sapiens (human). RNAcentral's name for it is "non-protein coding lnc-RC3H1-4:1". Lineage: Eukaryota; Metazoa; Chordata; Mammalia; Primates; Hominidae. The record is from RNAcentral.
UGAACCAGUUUGGUACCCAGUUGGUAGAAGCCACAGUGACCUUGUCACAGCUGCUGAAAGCUCGCAGCAACAAACACCUUGACAAAAUUGGUAUGUCUUUGGCUGGUGUCAUCAAACUGAAUUGAAAGAAAGGAAAAAAGCAGAAUUUUCCAAAACUAAACAGAAGACUCCAGCAAUUUAGGAUGAGAAUACAAUGGGUACUCCAACAGAAUUCUGGUUUUGGUAAAACCAGUCUAAGCUGCAGAGGAAGAGUAAUGCCUGGAAAGAGACAUCCUUAUGGAUAAUCACUGGACUUGCAGUUAGAAAAUCAUCUGGAAUUGGAAAAGGAAUUAGUCCUAUGUAUGUAUUGUCCACGUCUAAGUGACAAGAAUACAGAACACUAUUUUCCAGUGUUAAAAAGAAAGGCAAGCCUUCUGAAACAAAAUGAAGUGCAUAGGAAACCAGUUGCAGUUCUCAAGAGACCUAACCAGCUAAACAGAAAAAAUAACAUUAUGUCCAGUUUUACCAGGAGAGGAAAUAAAUUAAGCCAUCAGAAAGACACUUCACAGGUAACUUUUCUUUUCGGAAGAGGCCUGAAGAAGGUUCAGGCCCAGUUGAACACGGAACAACUGCUAGAUGUAGUAGCAAAGAGAACUAGUCAAUGCCAGACAUCUAUCACAAACGCAGGAAUCUGACUGUAUCUAUUGAUAACCCUGGAGCAGUACAAUGCCCAGCAACUGAGAAACCAUGAUUAAUUCAUACUGCUAUACCUUCAUUCUUUAAAACACGGCAGCAAGAGAAUGUAAAGAAAGUUCCAACGGGUGUUCCCCUACAAUUUGACAUAAAUAGUGUUGGAAAACAGACAGAGAUGGCUUUGAAUGAGCACUUUGGGAUCCUGAGAAAACAAACAGCCACUCUCACAUAUAACAAAGGAGGAAGUCACUUUUUAACUGUGG